Molecule: microRNA precursor, 144 nt
Filed under: Chlorocebus sabaeus (green monkey)
Lineage: Eukaryota; Metazoa; Chordata; Mammalia; Primates; Cercopithecidae
Description: miRNA (ENSCSAG00000020038.1)
Source: RNAcentral
CACACCAGAAUUACCUGGGGAGAUUAUUAAAAAUACAGAUUCUUGGGCCCCACCCCUGGAGAUUGUGAAUCAGUAAGUAGAUCUGGGGUGGGGCCUGGGAAUUUGUAUUUUUAAACAAGUAAACUUCAGGUGAUUCUGAUGCCA